GACGAACGCUGGCGGCGUGCCUAAUACAUGCAAGUAGAACGCUGAAGCUUGGUGCUUGCACCGAGCGGAUGAGUUGCGAACGGGUGAGUAACGCGUAGGUAACCUGCCUGGUAGCGGGGGAUAACUAUUGGAAACGAUAGCUAAUACCGCAUAAUAGUAGACGUUGCAUGACAUUUGCUUAAAAGGUGCAAUUGCAUCACUACCAGAUGGACCUGCGUUGUAUUAGCUAGUUGGUGAGGUAACGGCUCACCAAGGCAACGAUACAUAGCCGACCUGAGAGGGUGAUCGGCCACACUGGGACUGAGACACGGCCCAGACUCCUACGGGAGGCAGCAGUAGGGAAUCUUCGGCAAUGGACGGAAGUCUGACCGGGCAACGCCGCGUGAGUGAAGAAGGUUUUCGGACCGUAAAGCUCUGUUGUAAGAGAAGAACGAGUGUGAGAGUGGAAAGUUCACACUGUGACGGUAUCUUACCAGAAAGGGACGGCUAACUACGUGCCAGCAGCCGCGGUAAUACGUAGGUCCCGAGCGUUGUCCGGAUUUAUUGGGCGUAAAGCGAGCGCAGGCGGUUAGAUAAGUCUGAAGUUAAAGGCUGUGGCUUAACCAUAGUACGCUUUGGAAACUGUUUAACUUGAGUGCAAGAGGGGAGAGUGGAAUUCCAUGUGUAGCGGUGAAAUGCGUAGAUAUAUGGAGGAACACCGGUGGCGAAAGCGGCUCUCUGGCUUGUAACUGACGCUGAGGCUCGAAAGCGUGGGGAGCAAACAGG
RNAcentral lists this ribosomal RNA (765 nucleotides) under uncultured Streptococcus sp. Its description in RNAcentral is "bacterial SSU rRNA". It matches the Rfam family "Bacterial small subunit ribosomal RNA", at positions 28 to 776 of the family's 1533-position model. The record is from RNAcentral. Lineage: Bacteria; Bacillati; Bacillota; Bacilli; Lactobacillales; Streptococcaceae.